RNAcentral lists this ribosomal RNA (500 nucleotides) under uncultured bacterium. RNAcentral's name for it is "partial 16S ribosomal RNA". It matches the Rfam family "Bacterial small subunit ribosomal RNA", at positions 30 to 523 of the family's 1533-position model. The record is from RNAcentral.
AUUGAACGCUGGCGGCAGGCUUAACACAUGCAAGUCGAGCGGGGGAAGGUAGCUUGCUACCGGACCUAGCGGCGGACGGGUGAGUAAUGCUUAGGAAUCUGCCUAUAGUGGGGGACAACAUCUCGAAAGGGAUGCUAAUACCGCAUACGUCCUACGGGAGAAAGCAGGGGAUAUUCGGACCUUGCGCUAAUAGAUGAGCCUAAGUCGGAUUAGCUAGUUGGUGGGGGAAAGGCCUACCAAGGCGACGAUCUGUGGCGGGUGUGAGCGGAUGAACCGCCGAACUGGGGCUGGGACACGGCCCAGACUCCUACGGGAGGCAGCAGUGGGGAAUAUUGGACAAUGGGGGGAACCCUGAUUCAGCCAUGCCGCGUGUGUGAAGAAGGCCUUAUGGUUGUAAAGCACUUUAAGCGAGGAGGAGGCUACUCUAGUUAAUACCUAGGGAUAGUGGACGUUACUCGCAGAAUAAGCACCGGCUAACUCUGUGCCAGCAGCCGCCGCUG